CAGCGAGGACACGGUGCUAGGUAGUGGAUUGCCGUGCGCUAUAUUUAGAAAGCAGCUGGAAGAGAAAAUGUCCUCAGGAAUCCGGACUAUUUUGUUGUAAAUGUCCCUGCAGUCCCAGUACAGUAAGCGUAAAUGCUCGUUCUUCAGACGUGCCAGCGCUUCGCUCUGCCUGGGAGCCCUGGGUGUCAUGCCUGGCGUUAGCAACAAUGAGGGUCUGGUCCUUCCUUGGGCUGCCCAGGGACUUCCGAGGCAUCCAGCACCUGGCUUCCAGCUCAGCCUGCUUGGUGACUGCAGCAAGAAAGAGGCCCCGUAUCUCAAGGUGAAGGCUGUUGGUGGGCUCACCGCAGCAGGAUGAAGCCAACGCCUCCUAAAAGAAACAGCCCCCCAGCUGCUUGUGCCGGUCCGAGGUAACGGAGUUGGGGAGCUGCUGUAAGAUUCUUGCCACCCCCAAGUCACCCCACUUGACCCUUUCUCGCUGUGGGGCAACUCGCCCG
This 494-nucleotide long non-coding RNA is filed under the name Columba livia (rock pigeon). Its description in RNAcentral is "partial uncharacterized LOC102093723". The record is from RNAcentral. Lineage: Eukaryota; Metazoa; Chordata; Aves; Columbiformes; Columbidae.